Non-coding RNA from Chlorocebus sabaeus (green monkey), 2226 nucleotides. The record is from RefSeq and is a predicted model, not a curated record. NCBI's taxonomy places the organism in Eukaryota, Metazoa, Chordata, Mammalia, Primates, Cercopithecidae.
UUGUAAUUAAUUUAAUAUUUUGUCAAAUAUUUCAAUAGAGGAGAUAGUGAAGUAACAUAAAAAUUGAAGAAUAAGGAGCAACUCAAAACAUGCCUGCCAUUUCCUAGUAUAAAAUGUCCACAUUUCUAGAUUUUGUUAAAUCAGUGAUUUCAGUCACCCACAUAAUUUUGCAAUUCAUAUUUAGUUUUAAUGUUACAUUAAAACUUACGGACUUAAAAGAGUUGAUGUAUUCCCCUUGAAAAGCUGUGAUUGGAUACAACCUGGAGAAAGGAUUUAUGCCAUGAAGACUCUUGGGCAGCAGUUUUUGUUUUCCAAUGUGCUUAUAUGUUGGAACAUUAAAAAAUGUUUUACGUAUUCAAGUUUUUUUCUUCCAGUUUCCUGAGGAGAAUCCUUGUUUUAUCUGUUAUGUUCAUUUUGUGAUAUGUAGAGCAGAGAAUUGUAAGAAGCAAAUAAGAAAAUUGAUUUUCGUAAGAUAGGGCAAUGUGAACAUCUUGAAAGGAUGGCUCAGCAAGAUGAAAAGGGCAGGGAAAGGCAGGAGAAGACUGGGAAGGAGUGACAAGCAGACUCGUGUCUUGAAAGGAAUAGGAAAGAGGUUUGAGAGAGGUUUGACUGUUGUCCAUGAUAAGUUGGACUUUUGGGACAAAGUUUUUGAUAAAGUAAUAGUAGAUUUCCUAAGCCUCUUAAAAGCCGUUCGAUAAAGUCAGUUUGCUUGUUAAGGUUUUAGAAUAUUAAAUUUGUGUUAUUUUUGACAAACCACACAGUGAAAUAAUACUUCAGGUUAAAGAAAGAAGACCUAAGGAUUUUUUCCUGUAUUUUUGGGAGAUACUUAUAUUUUAUUAAAUAAUAAUAUAAGACUUUGAUUGCAAGCCUAGUAAGAAUGGCAAGAGUACAGUCUAGUUUUCCUGAGACCAUCUCAGACUAGUAAAAGAAUUACUUCAAAUAUUUACUCCAUUAUUCGUAGUAGCAGCAGCAUAGCAUAGUAUAAAAGCAAUUGUAUAUUACAUUUAAUUAAUGACACCUAUUUUAUAUUUUAAUUGUGAUGCGAGUGUUAUUUAUUUGUAGAAGUAUAUAGUUAAGCUGGAUAAUGGACAACAUGUAGAUAUUUUAGAUAAUUAUUUAAAAGAUUUGGGGAUUAUGUCCAAAAUUCACUUCCAGUGACUUUUUACAUUAUUUAAAUAACAUAGACAUGCAUUAUAAAUCACUAGGAAAUCUUUCUGAAAUAAAAUAUAAACUACUAUAUAUGACUCGAGACAGUAUAGCACUCAUUAACUGAAAAUGUGGUUAAUCUAUCUAUGUACUUCAUUUUCCAAGAGUAAAGUAUAUCAUUUUCUCAAGGUAAAACUUUGCAGGAAUGUAUUUGACUCCACACCCCGUUAUGCACCCUGGUUAUCUAGCAUGACACCACUACACUAAUACUGAAACACAGCUAUCAAGAUAUUGCGUCCUAUAGGAAACAGCCCCACUCUUUAUCUUGCAUGCCCCUCUGAUCAGAUCCAAGAGACUGUUAGGUCAGCUAUUGCAAGGAUCUUUUUUCUCUUUUGCAUGUGUCAUAGCUCAGUAGGUAUCAUUAAUGUAUCUAUUUUGUAAUAAAUACUGAAUUCCUUCCAAAUAUCAGGAAGGAAUUCUGGUAGGUCUCAUUAGUAGUUCCAUGAUUAUAUUGAGUUGAAAAUACCAGGGAACAUGCAAUAUUUAAAUAAUUUUUUACAGAGUUUUGAUGAUUAUGAUAAAAUAUUUCAUCAUUUCUAAUAUUAUAUCCUCUCACUCUUGUGCACAGACCCAUCCCAGUAGUUAGCCAAGAACUUACCCUUGGCACCAUAUUCAAUAAAUUCUCACCGUGGAGUCUUUACCCUUGCUUUUUGUUCUUGAUCUUCUCUUAUCUUCUAAACAGAAAUUUUUAUGGCUGUUCUUACUCACUUUGUGCACUCUUUUCAAUCUAGGUUUUGCAUCUCUAUUAUUUGCCUGUUUAAUAGCUUCUAUACUGUAAUUAAAUUAUUUUUGUAUGUAUUCCUUUUAUUCUCUAAUCGACUAUAAAACUCAUAAAAUUAGCAAUAAUGUAUUCUACUUCUUCAUUUUCCAUAAAAUACAGAAGACAGUCACUCAAUAAAUAAUGAACACAUGCUGAAUGUUGCUGGCUAAACUAGAAGUCAUCUCACAUUAUUCACAAACUAUAAUUGUGUAGUGGAGGAAAAAUUACAGCUGUAUUAAUAAACCUUAAGUUCUUCCAUA